AGAACGAACGCUGGCGGCGUGGAUAAGACAUGCAAGUCGAACGCGACUUAUUUUGUUAGCAAUAACAGAGUAAGUUGAGUGGCGAAAGGGUGCGUAACACGUGGGAAUUUACCAAGAAGUGGGGAAUAGCUCGACGAAAGUCGAAUUAAUACCGCAUGUGAUCGAAAGAUCAAAGUCGGGGACCGCAAGGCCUGACGCUUUUUGAGAAGCCCGCGGCCCAUCAGCUAGUUGGUGAGGUAAUGGCUCACCAAGGCUAUGACGGGUAGCUGGUCUGAGAGGACGACCAGCCACACUGGAACUGAGACACGGUCCAGACACCUACGGGUGGCAGCAGUCGAGAAUUUUUCACAAU
Molecule: ribosomal RNA, 352 nt
Filed under: uncultured bacterium
Lineage: Bacteria
Description: SSU rRNA
Rfam family: Bacterial small subunit ribosomal RNA
Source: RNAcentral